Molecule: ribosomal RNA, 253 nt
Filed under: uncultured bacterium
Lineage: Bacteria
Description: partial 16S ribosomal RNA
Rfam family: Bacterial small subunit ribosomal RNA
Source: RNAcentral
UACGGGGGGGGCAAGCGUUGUUCGGAAUUACUGGGCGUAAAGGGUCUGUAGGUGGCUUGCUAAGUCAGACGUGAAAUCCCUCAGCUUAACUGGGGAACUGCGUCUGAGACUGGCGAGCUUGAGGGCAGGAGAGGAACGCGGAAUUCCAGGUGUAGCGGUGAAAUGCGUAGAUAUCUGGAGGAACACCGGUGGCGAAGGCGGCGUUCUGGACCGUAACUGACGCUGAGACACGAAAGCGUGGGUAGCAAACAGG